GAUGAACGCUAGCUACAGGCUUAACACAUGCAAGUCGAGGGGCAGCAUGUUGGUUGCUUGCAACCAAUGAUGGCGACCGGCGCACGGGUGAGUAACGCGUAUCCAACCUACCCAAUACUCAGGCAUAACCCGUUGAAAGACGGACUAAUUCCUGAUGGUAUGUAUUUUUCUCAUGAAUUAUACAUUAAAGAAUUUCGGUAUUGGAUGGGGAUGCGUCUGAUUAGUUUGUUGGUGAGGUAACGGCUCACCAAGACUUCGAUCAGUAGGGGUUCUGAGAGGAAGGUCCCCCACAUUGGAACUGAGACACGGUCCAGACUCCUACGGGAGGCAGCAGUGAGGAAUAUUGGUCAAUGGACGGAAGUCUGAACCAGCCAAGUAGCGUGCAGGAUGACGGCCCUCCGGGUUGUAAACUGCUUUUAGUUGGGAAUAAAAAAGAGGACGUGUCCUCUAUUGUAUGUACCUUCAGAAAAAGGACCGGCUAAUUCCGUGCCAGCAGCCGCGGUAAUACGGAAGGUCCAGGCGUUAUCCGGAUUUAUUGGGUUUAAAGGGAGCGUAGGCGGAUUAUUAAGUCAGUGGUGAAAGACGGUGGCUCAACCAUCGUUAGCCAUUGAAACUGGUAGUCUUGAGUGCAGACAGGGAUGCUGGAACUCGUGGUGUAGCGGUGAAAUGCUUAGAUAUCACGAUGAACUCCGAUCGCGAAGGCAGGUGUCCGGGCUGCAACUGACGCUGAGGCUCGAAAGUGUGGGUAUCAAACAGG
RNAcentral lists this ribosomal RNA (757 nucleotides) under uncultured Prevotella sp. Its description in RNAcentral is "bacterial SSU rRNA". It matches the Rfam family "Bacterial small subunit ribosomal RNA", at positions 28 to 776 of the family's 1533-position model. The record is from RNAcentral. Lineage: Bacteria; Pseudomonadati; Bacteroidota; Bacteroidia; Bacteroidales; Prevotellaceae.